GGGAAUCUGCCCUUAGGUUCGGAAUAACAGUUAGAAAUGACUGCUAAUACCGGAUGAUGACGUAAGUCCAAAGAUUUAUCGCCUGAGGAUGAGCCCGCGUAGGAUUAGCUAGUUGGUGUGGUAAAGGCGCACCAAGGCGACGAUCCUUAGCUGGUCUGAGAGGAUGAUCAGCCACACUGGGACUGAGACACGGCCCAGACUCCUACGGGAGGCAGCAGUGGGGAAUAUUGGACAAUGGGCGCAAGCCUGAUCCAGCAAUGCCGCGUGAGUGAUGAAGGCCUUAGGGUUGUAAAGCUCUUUUACCCGGGAUGAUAAUGACAGUACCGGGAGAAUAAGCCCCGGCUAACUCCGUGCCAGCAGCCGCGGUAAUACGGAGGGGGCUAGCGUUGUUCGGAAUUACUGGGCGUAAAGCGCACGUAGGCGGCUUUGUAAGUUAGAGGUGAAAGCCUGGAGCUCAACUCCAGAACUGCCUUUAAGACUGCAUCGCUUGAAUCCAGGAGAGGUGAGUGGAAUUCCGAGU
Molecule: ribosomal RNA, 520 nt
Filed under: uncultured bacterium
Lineage: Bacteria
Description: bacterial SSU rRNA
Rfam family: Bacterial small subunit ribosomal RNA
Source: RNAcentral